Small nuclear RNA from Mustela putorius furo (domestic ferret), 103 nucleotides. The record is from Ensembl. Lineage: Eukaryota; Metazoa; Chordata; Mammalia; Carnivora; Mustelidae.
CCGCUUUGGCAGCACAUAUACUACAGCCGGAAUGAUACACAGAAGAUGAGCAUAGCCCCUGCGCAGGGGUGACAUCCACAUUUGUGAAGCAUUCCAUAAUUUU